Molecule: ribosomal RNA, 448 nt
Filed under: uncultured bacterium
Lineage: Bacteria
Description: bacterial SSU rRNA
Rfam family: Bacterial small subunit ribosomal RNA
Source: RNAcentral
UGGGGAAUCUUGGACAAUGGGCGCAAGCCUGAUCCAGCCAUGCCGCGUGAGUGAUGAAGGCCUUAGGGUUGUAAAGCUCUUUUUGCCGGGGACGAUAAUGACGGUACCCGGAGAAUAAGUCCCGGCUAACUUCGUGCCAGCAGCCGCGGUAAUACGAAGGGAGCUAGCGUUGUUCGGAAUCACUGGGCGUAAAGCGCACGUAGGCGGAUAGUUAAGUCAGGGGUGAAAUCCUGGGGCUCAACCCCAGAACUGCCUUUGAUACUGGCUGUCUCGAGGUCGAGAGAGGUUGGUGGAAUUCCUAGUGUAGAGGUGAAAUUCGUAGAUAUUAGGAAGAACACCGGUGGCGAAGGCGGCCCACUGGCUCGAUACUGACGCUGAGGUGCGAAAGCGUGGGGAGCAAACAGGAUUAGAUACCCGUGUAGUCCCUGAGCGGGCUGGCAAGGCGCAU